RNAcentral lists this long non-coding RNA (657 nucleotides) under Mytilus galloprovincialis (Mediterranean mussel). Lineage: Eukaryota; Metazoa; Mollusca; Bivalvia; Mytilida; Mytilidae. The record is from RNAcentral.
GAAGUAUAGAUCUGCUGGUUAUAGAUUUUUUUUUUAUAACUUUCAUUAUUGUGACGACGCGCUAUGAAAUUCAGAUUAAUUUAUAAAUGAAGUUGUAUAUAAAUUUUUGGUCAUAAACACAAAUCUUUUAAACAGUUCGACGAGUGCGUCAAUGUUACAGUAGUCUGUUUACUGUAAGUUACUAAGCUUGGCCCGAUUCAUCUGUCAUUUAUGGAAACUAAUUCACCACUUUCUGAGACAUUCAUUUUUUAUUUCACCAUCAGACAUGGAGCUACAUUUGUAACUAAAGGAAAACUCUCAAAUUAAAGAAAUUUGACAUGAUAUACUGAAACUUUCUUAUAAUCAAUUAAACGACUGCUUUUCUUAGAUAUGUGAUUUUUCAUGGUCAAACUUUUUCAUUGUUAACGGACAUUUUGAGAUUUUUUAUUGUAAAAAAAUGGUGUUUUUUUAAAGAAAUCAACAUUCAAAAUUUAGAACUUCAUGAACAUGUACAGGAAGCUGAAUUAUUGCACAUCUAUGUACUACUUAAAAUUGUACUUCGAUCUGUUGCGUCCUUAAAAUGUUCUGACCGUCCUAAGAUUUAAUGUACGGAAAUGUUUCGGUAAAUUAAAUUCAAAUCCGAAUUGAAUGUUUAUGACACACAAAAAGAGAAACCAG